AAAGUCCUGAAGGAAGUGAUCUUGACGAGAAUAAAAGUAGACUGUAUUUUAUCUCUUUUUGCAUUUGCUAUAUUUGCAGUACUAAUUACCUCCUGUAUUGUUUUAAUGAAUACAUCACAACCUAUGAGAUGGAUGUUUUCUGGAUUAUUUUUUGAAGACCACAUAAACACAACAGGUAGAUGAAUGCUUAAAAUUAUCUCUGUUCUUAAAUGUUAAAUUUAUGACAUUUGAAGUUUUCUGUUACUUAAUUCAUGUGAAUCCUUGUCUUCAGAUUACGAACAGGAAAUGGCAUCACUUCUCUUACUGAUACAUCUCCUUCCACCACCACCAGGAGGACAGAAUUCUUAGAAAAUUAGUGCAUGUACUGCUGCUGAAAGACUUGUAGUGUUUCAUAAGUUUGGAGAAACACCUCAACAAUAACCAGCAUCAGCAUCCGUACCUCCUUGCUGUUGUCAGAAAAGUAAGAUCUUCUACAUUUUCUUGGAUAAGCAUCUCAUCCCAUGCCAGGCAAACCGCUCCCUUGGAGCAUUUGAUGUACUUGUCAAGGCACAUUUUGUGUUCAAGCUGUCAUAUGAUAGUGACCUUGUUAACUUUUACACAUUCCUCCAGACGUUGUACAACAUCGAUGUGGGGAAUAUGUGAGUCACUCAGAGUUAAAGACUUGAGCUAGACCACUUAACCAGACAGUAACAUUAACUUAAAGUCUGGGCAAUAUGAUUCUGAGAGAAUGCUGAUCUGUUGUAUUUGUCAGAAACAGCACCUCAACAGUCAACAGUUGAUGUCACAUAUAAGAGGUGAACAGAGUUACUAUCCUGGUUCUUUCUAUCAAUUCUGGCACUUGAUCCCUGACCACCUCAAAUUAUUUACGGACUUGUAUCCAGAUAAAAAUAAUCAUUUUAUGAUUAAUUACCCAUCUUCAAGGAAAAUUGGCCACUUAUUAUAUAUGUGGUCUAUAAUAUUCUAUAAGCCAAAUAAGAUGUUCAAAAAACUUUCAAAACUUUCAAAACCAUAAAAUCAUUUGCUAAAACUCAUCAGAUGGCCAUCGCUUUUCAUUGGGAAACCUUCACCCUCAAACAUAAGGAGUUUGUCCCAAUGAAACCUUUUUUAAUCACAGAAGAGAAUGUGGUCAGAAAUCAAACCUGUGAAAUGUCUAAAGAUGUUUUAUCAGCCAGCUGGGUUAAAGUUGAUGGUUUAGAAUAUAGAGCUGGACGUGUUGUUUGCAGUACAAUGGAAAGUAAAAUUCCAGUCUGCUGUUAAAUAAGUGAUAAACUUUUGAUUAAUAACUGCAUUAAUAUUUUGGCAAACAAACUAUUUACAGAGAAUUUUGAAGAACAUCUUCAUGCAUUCAGAGUACACUGAAGUGAGGAAAGGUGUUUUAUACAAAUGUCAGAUAUUACAGUUUGUAAGAUAUUUGAUCUUCAGAGCUCAUACAGUGUCGUGGAUGAAAGUUUGUACAUCAAACCUUCUUUUGUAAUGUUUUAAUUCAUGUAGAAAUUGUACUGCAAUGAGAGCUAAAAUAAACAAGUUGAUGGAA
Tachysurus fulvidraco (yellow catfish) is the source of this 1534-nucleotide long non-coding RNA. RefSeq lists it as uncharacterized. The record is from RefSeq and is a predicted model, not a curated record. Lineage: Eukaryota; Metazoa; Chordata; Actinopteri; Siluriformes; Bagridae. The transcript is spliced from 2 exons.